RNAcentral lists this ribosomal RNA (1376 nucleotides) under Prosorhynchoides sp. e SC-2022. RNAcentral describes it as "partial large subunit ribosomal RNA". It matches the Rfam family "Eukaryotic large subunit ribosomal RNA", at positions 1 to 983 of the family's 3401-position model. Lineage: Eukaryota; Metazoa; Platyhelminthes; Trematoda. The record is from RNAcentral.
UGACCUCGGAUCAGACGUGAAUACCCGCUGAACUUAAGCAUAUCACUAAGCGGAGGAAAAGAAACUAACCAGGAUUCCCCCAGUAACGGCGAGUGAACAGGGAAGAGCCCAGCACCGAAGCCUGUGUCCAUUUGGUCACUAGGCAAUGUGGUGUUUAGGUCGUCUCGCAGUGGUGCUGCCCCACCCUAAGUCCAACACUGAGUACGGUUGUUUGGACAUGGCCCAAGGAGGGUGAAAGGCCCGUGGGGGUGGGGACCACAGUGCUGCUAUGAGUAGACCUUGGAGUCGGGUUGUUUGUGAAUGCAGCCCAAAGUGGGUGGUAAACUCCAUCCAAGGCUAAAUACUGGCACGAGUCCGAUAGCAAACAAGUACCGUGAGGGAAAGUUGAAAAGUACUUUGAAGAGAGAGUAAACAGUACGUGAAACCGCUCAGAGGUAAACGGGUGGAGUUGAACUGCAAGCUCCGAGAAUUCAGCUGGUGAGCGUGGUUUAAGGUAUGGUUAUGACGGUCGUCUGUGCGGGUUCGCUGCACUGCGGGUCUCUGCCUUCGGGUAGGGAUGCUGGGGUACUUACCAAGUACUACGCGCUUGUACAGUUCGACGGGCCGGCUUGCCAGUGCACUUUCUCGGAGUAGUCACCUCGACCGGCGCUGCUGCUUGUCUACUGGUGUUAAACCUGCUGCUUAUAGUCCUUGUGGCUCUUUGUGGUGGGGACGGCAGGUGGCCCGAUGGUUUUGCCAUCGGGUGUUAUCAGCUGACAUCAGUAGACCUAUGCGGUGCAUCGGAGACGGCGGCUUGUGAUGUGUACGUGUGUGCCUGUCUGCUGACGGUGCUGGGUCUGGUUGUCAUGUAGCCUGUAAAAGCAGGCCUGAUAAUGGCUCGGUAUUGUUUGGUGGGCGGUGGCAUGCGGGACAUCUGUAAUGAGGGCCAAUAGUCUGUGGUGUAGUGGUAGACCUUCCACCCGACCCGUCUUGAAACACGGACCAAGGAGAGUAACAUGUGCGCGAGUCAAUGGGUGUUACGAAACCCAAAGGCGAAGUGAAGGUGAAUGUUCGGCUUGUCCGGACUGAGGUGAGAUCUUGGCGUUUCUCACGCGUGGUAUCACCAUGCCCUUGAGCGUCAGGCGCAUCACCGGCCCGUCCCAUGGUGUGGGUGCUUUCCUUCGGGUGGGCACCCCAUCGGGGUGGAGCACGAGCGUACAUGUUGAGACCCGAAAGAUGGUGAACUAUGCUUGCAGAGGUUGAAGCCAGAGGAAACUCUGGUGGAGGACCGCAGCGAUUCUGACGUGCAAAUCGAUCGUCAAAUGUGAGUAUAGGGGCGAAAGACUAAUCGAACCAUCUAGUAGCUGGUUCCCUCCGAAGUUUCCCUCAGGAUAGCA